CAGGCCUAACACAUGCAAGUCGAGCGGAAACGAGUUAACUGACCCUUCGGGUGACGUUAACGGCGUCGAGCGGCGGACGGGUGAGUAAUGCCUGGGAAAUUGCCCUGAUGUGGGGGAUAACCAUUGGAAACGAUGGCUAAUACCGCAUAAUAGCUUCGGCUCAAAGAGGGGGACCUUCGGGCCUCUCGCGUCAGGAUAUGCCCAGGUGGGAUUAGCUAGUUGGUGAGGUAAUGGCUCACCAAGGCGACGAUCCCUAGCUGGUCUGAGAGGAUGAUCAGCCACACUGGAACUGAGACACGGUCCAGACUCCUACGGGAGGCAGCAGUGGGGAAUAUUGCACAAUGGGCGCAAGCCUGAUGCAGCCAUGCCGCGUGUGUGAAGAAGGCCUUCGGGUUGUAAAGCACUUUCAGUCGUGAGGAAGGUAGUGUAGUUAAUAGCUGCAUUAUUUGACGUUAGCGACAGAAGAAGCACCGGCUAACUCCGUGCCAGCAGCCGCGGUAAUACGGAGGGUGCGAGCGUUAAUCGGA
Molecule: ribosomal RNA, 527 nt
Filed under: Vibrio sp. OT400
Lineage: Bacteria; Pseudomonadati; Pseudomonadota; Gammaproteobacteria; Vibrionales; Vibrionaceae
Description: bacterial SSU rRNA
Rfam family: Bacterial small subunit ribosomal RNA
Source: RNAcentral